AGAGUUGACGAAACUUGUAGUAAUCAGUGUAUAGUGCUGCCUGGCUGCGUUCGUGCUGCUUGGGUUUCCAAGGCGGACGUAGUCUUAGCUUGCUGGUACUUUGCACGCUUUUACUGCAGGUAGUGCCGAUUGCCUCGGUUGCUCCUUCUGAACCGUUGAGUUGAGGCCCACCUCGGUGGUUACCUGCUCGGCGGGGAGGUUGCGUAGUGGCUGGGGUUAAUGAGUCCGGCCUUUGCGAGGAAUGCUUGUGUCUGCAUUCGAGGAAUCUUCUGGCAGGUCCAGGGUGAACUUGGGUGUUUGGCAUGAUGUAUGCUUCGUUGGACUCGUUUUCGGCUUGAAAGUUGACCACCUAUCCGACCCGUCUUGAAACACGGACCAAGAAGUCUAGUAUGUGCGCGAGUCAGUGGGCGUUAACCCUAUUGGCGUAAUGAAAGUAAAGGGCGGCUUGCCGUCUGAUAUGUGAUCCGUGAUUCGUCGCGGUGCAACAUAGCCCCAUGCCGACUGCUUGCAGUGGUGUGGAGGUAGAGCGUACAUACUGGGACCCGAAAGAUGGUGAACUAUGCCUGAGCAGGACGAAGCCAGAGGAAACUCUGGUGGAGGUCCGAAGCGGUUCUGACGUGCAAAUCGAUCGUCUGACUUGGGUAUAGGGGCGAAAGACUAAUCGAACCAUCUAGUAGCUGGUUCCCUCCGAAGUUUCCCCCAGGAUAGCUGGAGUGCAAUGCUGUUAUAUCCGGUAAAGCGAAUGAUUAGAGGCCUUGGGGACGAAAUGUCCUCAACCUAUUCUCAAACUUUCAAUGGGUACGAUGUUGCGGUUGCUUAAUUGAACCGUGACUGGGAAAGCGCGCUCCAAGUGGGCCAUUUUUGGUAAGCAGAACUGGCGAUGCGGGAUGAACCGAACGUUGAGUUAAGGUGCCUAACUCUCUGCUCAUGAGACCCCAUAA
RNAcentral lists this ribosomal RNA (941 nucleotides) under Myctolaimus sp. RS5514. RNAcentral's name for it is "eukaryotic LSU rRNA". It matches the Rfam family "Eukaryotic large subunit ribosomal RNA", at positions 447 to 1217 of the family's 3401-position model. Lineage: Eukaryota; Metazoa; Nematoda; Chromadorea; Rhabditida; Cylindrocorporidae. The record is from RNAcentral.